GGCAGAUCUAUACUUUUCAGAUUUGAAAUAACUAUCUGCCCCUACAUGCAGAAGGUGUUAUUACCAAAUAAGAGAACCUUGUCUCUGGUGUUCAGUGACAUUGGUUUUAAUUAAUCAACAUUUGGUUUUAACAUGAAGGACACUUCAGGAAUAAUUAGGAACAUACUUGGUUUUGUUUUUGAUAUAGACAUGUGUUAUUUCUGGCUAAAAGGAUACAAAACAUUGGCAACAAAUAUGGUGUAGGUAUCGUCAUAUCAAAGGCAUGUCAUAUCAUGUCCCUGCGAUUACAGCUUGUUGUAGGCUGCAAAGCAUAAGAGGUAUGCUUUUCAAAGGCAUUGGUAAAAGGUCCGGUGGAAUUCUCAGUUUCGGAAUGUUGUUGUCAGUCAACGCAAAAACACUGUACCAAAAAAGUAUUGUACUGUAGCCGACGUUGAUAAGCUACUGAAAUGAUGCUGACAUUAAAUUACGGAACAAAAUAUGGACAAACCUAUAGGAGUUUGAGCCAAGACAAGAGGACACUGCUUUGUGGGACAGAAAAUACCCCUCUCCUCUCCCCUAUCCAGGGAGAGCUCUUGCCUCCCUCCCCCAGUCCUCCAACAUAUCCCUUACUCCUUUGUCCCCCUCUGUCCUCCCCUCUCUCAAACCACCGUCUGCUCUCCCCGGCACUUCCUACAGCCAACAUACACCGACGAGACAAGAUACACAACAGCGCCCAGACAUGCGAACACGGCAGCAGCCAGAUAGACUUUAUACAGGCAGUGGUGUUUAUAUUGCUCCAGGUUGCAGUACUCGUACCGCUCUGUCUUGUAGAUCAUGACGCCGAUCGCCGGUAGAUAAAGCACCGCAGCAGCGACGUCAUGAACCAGGUUGCUAAGCAACCACCGGUCCCCUCCCAAGACGGGGACAAGGUCCUGCUUGUCCAGGAGGGUGAUAAAAAACGCGGUGAGGGUGAGGAGCCAGAAGAGCACGGCCACGAACAGGACGAAGUGGAUGGCGCCUUCGUAUUUGUUGGCGGCGAUUGUGACCCAUAGUCCUGCUCCGAAAAUGAUUUGGAGGAUUCGGAUGAUGCCGAGCAAACUCUUUAGGAAGUCCCAAAAAUGUUUAUUCACCUCCGGCUGGGGGGGCAUCUCUGCUCCAGCGAACACUGGGUCCUUUAACUGAGCAGGGCGGGGGCUUUCAAUCUGCCACAAAAUAAAAAUAAAAACACCAACAAAAAAAUGACAAAUAAAAAGGGAGGGUGGAGUAAAAUGACAAAUAAAAAGGGAGAGUGGAGUGCUAAAUAGGUGGUUAGAAGUAUAAAGUUUGUAAAAGAGUUGUCUUUUCUUCUUCACAGCCCCGGGGUUUUAAAAUGAGGAUUGUGUGAGUUUCGUCUUUUCC
RNAcentral lists this long non-coding RNA (1377 nucleotides) under Salmo salar (Atlantic salmon). Its description in RNAcentral is "lncRNA (ENSSSAG00000117271.1)". Lineage: Eukaryota; Metazoa; Chordata; Actinopteri; Salmoniformes; Salmonidae. The record is from RNAcentral.